RNAcentral lists this ribosomal RNA (157 nucleotides) under Sarcodon lundellii. RNAcentral describes it as "5.8S ribosomal RNA". It matches the Rfam family "5.8S ribosomal RNA". From Rfam's summary of the family: 5.8S ribosomal RNA (5.8S rRNA) is a component of the large subunit of the eukaryotic ribosome. It is transcribed by RNA polymerase I as part of the 45S precursor that also contains 18S and 28S rRNA. Lineage: Eukaryota; Fungi; Basidiomycota; Agaricomycetes; Thelephorales; Thelephoraceae. The record is from RNAcentral.
AACUUUCAGCAACGGAUCUCUUGGCUCUCGCAUCGAUGAAGAACGCAGCGAAAUGCGAUAAGUAAUGUGAAUUGCAGAAUUCAGUGAAUCAUCGAAUCUUUGAACGCACCUUGCGCCCCUUGGUAUUCCGAGGAGCAUGCCUGUUUGAGUGUCAUGA